This 31501-nucleotide long non-coding RNA is filed under the name Eucalyptus grandis. Its description in RNAcentral is "long non-coding RNA (EGRA_LNC005790)". The record is from RNAcentral. Lineage: Eukaryota; Viridiplantae; Streptophyta; Magnoliopsida; Myrtales; Myrtaceae.
UAAAAGGGAUGAUGAGUUUAAAAGUUCACUUCCUCGCAAUUUGGAAGACCCUCAAGAAAUAAAGUUUCAUCCAACGAAGGAGAGUGCAAGAGGGACGUACUGGUAACGGCGGGGACAUAGAAGCUCAGAUGGCCGAUACGCUGCUUUAUAUCUCAUCUUGCUGCAUGAAUGAAUGUAAUAGCCAAGGUAAUAAUACUGAAGACUGGCGCAGUGAACUUGAUUUUCCUUCACCCAAGAUAUUUCUUGCAAAGCCGAAUAUUUUCCCAGUGAUAAAAAGGCAAAGUCAGGGUCCCAAAAUAAAUAUUUACUCGACAAGCAUUUAGGAAGGAUAUCCACCACACCAACCGCAACUAAUCGGCCAUCAAUAACAUAUGACUGAUGGAAAGACCCAAAACCGCAGGGAGGAACUGAACCAUCAUUGGUCGAGGGAACAAAAACUAAUGGAGUGUCAACCAAAAAUCUCUUGUACGCACUCUCUGUGACCUGGGCUGGAUUGUCCUUGUGCACUUUCAACUGAUAUCGCCUGUACAACUCAAAUUCUUCACGCUCAAAAGUGGAUCUUUUCAGAAGAAUCUCAAGCUUCCGCCUUCUUCCUGAACAACAUUUACAGCACCUCACCAUACAUCUUCUCUUGUUUCCAUUUCUCGUUGAAGAUUCUUUAGAGAGAGAUUUUUCUUCGCCAGUCUUAUCCGCUGAAGCGUGCUCUGCAAUAGAAUAAAAGUUCAGAUGUCCGUUACAUGCUUGGACCAAGAAGCCAGAUGUUUCAUCCAUUUGAGACAAUGACCGCGCCAACUUUUCUCCAAUCCUUCGAGGUGUCAACUCAGAAGGCAGUUGGUCUUCUGCUGAGAUUCCAGAGAAUUCUGACCCUUUUUCAUCCUUUUUUCCUGACUGUGCACGCCUUAAAGUGGCAGCCAAUUGGAAAGCAAUGUUACUGGUAUACGAGAGAUUUUCCAAUCCUUUGACUAGCUUCUUCUUCUUGGUUGGGGAGACUCCUUUGACAGAAGCUUUAGGUAAUUGAAGAUUGGCAGAAAACGUCUCCCUUUCAAUGCAUGCCUGCACAGCCUUAUCAAUUGCAUCAGACAAGUAAUGCAUAAAUUGUUCUGGCUCAUUCUUAUCCUCCUCCACAUCCACAGAAGUUUCAACCGUUGCCAAGCUUGACCUUCCAUGACAUUCACAUUCACAUGCCACUUUAGAAGUAUUUAAAUCCUCCAGGAGCUCAGGCUUGGCUUUGGUGUCCAGUGUACCAUCCAGAAACCUAGAAACUAAUCACCAUGGUGAGAAAUUCUUGUACAUUAUAUCCAGAGUAUGCAGCUUUGCUAAAUCCUCACCUCAGAGGCAUAAUUUGGUUGAAAUGCACAAGUAGCCUAACAAUUUUCACAACCAUUGCACUUGUUAAGUUUAGCUUCAUGGUGUAAAAAGACCGAGAAAUUUCUCAAGGAGUCAAAAAGCAAAGCUCUUUCACUUUGAGAAAUCUCCUAGGUAGGAAAGCUUAGUGACGUCAAACUAAAAUUCCACUCAUGGAGUUGUCCAUUGAAAUACCAUUCCAAUGCCUACCAGCCUCAGAGUGGGCAAAUAGUAUUUUCGAUGACCACUGCUCUAAUCAAUUGACAAAGAAUGGACUCCAAACUCGAAUGCUGUCUUGAAAACAGGGUGGUGGUCGAUUUUGCAAAAUGCAAUGACGACGGAAUGAUGAAAAAAAUCAUAUGUGAAGAUGCAAUGAUCCAAUGAAUAGAAUCCAUAAUGUAGAGAGGUUAAUAAAGUAAUACCUUUCCAUCUGUUUGCGUACUCGAUUUUGCUCCUUGGAAGGAGAAAAGUCCGCUGCUUUUAAGCGGAUAGUAUAAGAAGGGCAACACGUAGUACUCAUAUCUGGCUUGUAAAGGAAAGAGCCAGAUCUUCUCCAUCCUCGAUCAAGGAGAUCUACAGGAUGAGUACCAAAGUAUGAAUUGCCACUCAAAAGAAAAAUGCAGAAUCAUCGAAUACGCUAUAACAUCUAUCCGACCCAUUAUUGCCACAGUAAGAAACCUAGCAGAGAAACCCAUCAGGUACAUUUGAAAGAAGAAUAAAAGGAGAAGGGUAAGACACGGACAGAAACUACUCGAGCCGGAACUUGAGCAUCCACCACAGCUCCGACACGGUUUCUCUGAGCUCUUGCAGUUAAAUACGCACAUACGGAAGCAUACGUGCAUGUCCUAACCGUUGAUAGAAGGAGUACGCAUAAAUUUCCCUCGUACGGAUCAAAUAUUCCGAAUUUCUCUAGUUCUUUCGAUCAGACAUGUGCACAUAUCGAAACUACAUCAGCCGAGUUCGAUAAGUAACAGCGCAUCGACAGUCCAGAGUUGCCCAGACUCUCAAAAUAGGAAAUUGCACACCAACCUUGAUAGUCAUCCACGGUCAGGCUCUGCGCAAUCAAGCCUGCGAUCCAAGUCGAAGAGACGUUAAAAAACAAACAACCCGAAACGGGAAAAAAUCGUCAGCGCGAGCCGACGCACGCAACGAAGCAUCAGAUUGGAACUAGAGACUAAACGCGAAUCAGCAAUUCCAGCGACCGUGAACGUCACGACAGACGACAAAAGCCGGAAAAAAGCAAACCCCGAAGCACGGCACCUCCAGUCCCGACCACCGGAGGCCGGGCAAAAACCGUACUCAACGACACGGGAGGGAGGCAAACAACGAGAAACGAAGGAGAAACCGUACGGACCGUGAGAAACGCUGGAGAACCCAUUUGGCGAUUUGCAGUACCCGCAGGAGCUCCUCCGCCGGCCGCAGUCCGAGACCACCGACUCCCCCCUUCCGCCGCCGCUGCUGCUCGCCUCGCUGCGAUGAUUGGCCGCCAUCUCCGAUCGAAGCUCCUUCCCUUCAACUAUUCAUCACCAAAGCAGAGGCGGAAAAAGGGCGAGGGAAUUGCCGGCGUCUCCGAUGUCUACGAGCUUCGAAUCCGUUUCCGGAAUUUGGAUAUAUAAAUCCGUGGGCUCUUCCUUCAAGCUCUUCUUGACUCGGCUAGGCGGUUUAACCCCGCCUUCUCCGGUUUUCCUUCCUCCCUCCCCCAGGGUCUUUCCUCGGAAAAGGGACAAAAGAAAAGUAUCAUCUCCAUUUUUAUUUUUAUUUUUUUUUUGCUUUUCUGGUGGCGUACUCUGAGAAUAUGUCCCGAAUGAGGCCACGAUUUUCACCCUCUUUUACCGCAAAGGCCCAUCGAAAGGUGGGGGCGGCAAUUUGCGUUUUUUCACCCCGGGAGUCUCUCCCCUAAUAUUGGCAAUCGAUAUCGUUUCACGAAAACUCCACAUUAAUAUACUUAUGAUAAUUUUAAAUUAAUUUUGAUAAUAAUGCUAAAAUAUAUAUAUAUAUAUAAUUUUUUUUAAAAGACCAAACCCUUCAUCAAAAUUUCUUAAUUUUUAUUUGUUUAAAAUUGAAAAAAAAUAACGUAUGCAACUUUUUUAAUAUAAAUUUUGACAAUAAUGCUAAAUAUAUAUAUAUAUAAUUUUUUUUAAAAAGACCAAAUCAUUUGUCAAAUUUUUUUUAGUUUUUUAAUUGUUUAAAAUUGAAAAAAUAAUUUAUGCAAAUUUUUAAAUAUAAAUUCGAAAAUAAUUCUAAAAAAUCAAAUAUAUAUAUAUAUAUAUAUAUAUAUAUAUAUUAAAAAGAACCAAACUCUUCGUUGGAAUUUUUUAAUUUUUAUUUGUUUAAAAUUGAAAAAAAUAAUGUAUGUAACUUUUUAAAUAUAAAUUUUGACAAUAAUGCUAAAAAAUCAAAUAUAUAAAUAAUUUUUUUAAAAAGACCAAAAUAUAUUUAUUUUUUUUAGUAUUUAUAUAAUUUUGAUUUUUUAGCAUUAUUUUGGCAUUUAAAAAAAAAUAACGAGGGCAAAAUUAGAAAUUUGAAGAAUAAGUUAUGAUAAUUUUGGAAAAAAAAAUAAGUUUUAGUAUUUGACUAAAUGCUAAAAGCUUAAAACUAGUCCCUACUAAUAUUGGCCUUUCAGACUUUUUAAUAUUGGCUUUCACUUGAAAGUUACUUCAAAAUGAUUGCCAAAUAAUUUAGCAUUUUCUCAAGAGACUUUGAAAUGUGAAAAUUCUUUGAGAAUGUUGAACCAAAUAUAUCCAAAGUCCAGUUUUUAUUGAGAAAGUAUCCGUUGGUGUUGGGUCUUGAUAAUCCAUGGUUCAUACAAGGGAAAGGGAAAGAAUAUUAUCGAAGAAUACAAUGUAGGAAAUUGAAAAGUAAGAGAGACCAAAAUCAAAAGACGUAUUUGCACGUAUUUUCUAUCAUAUCCACACGCUCCACCAAUCAAGGCGCACAAGUAUUUCGUUCAUACCACUUGCUCUGAUUGCGACAUUCGUAGUCUUAUCGCUAUCCCCAAAAUAUAGUAAAAGCCCUACACCCACUAACCCAAAAAAAAGUUUGAGAAAGAUGUCGUGGCAGCCUGGCUGGUACUUCAAUUGCCGCCUUAUUUUCAGAUGAUGAUGAUGGUGGUGGAAAGGUGCUCCACUCAACACCAGCCAAAAAAGAAGAAGAGAGAACAGCUAGUAGUUAAAUAGUCAAUCCUGGUCCUUUUCAUAUUGAAGGGGAAAAUGAUGCACGGGGGGCUAGAAGCUCGGGACAGGACAGACGGCCUUCAACUCCAGAAAAUAUUUGGUACCUCUUAUGUAACUAGCAUAACAAUAAAAGGAGAUCUAAAGAGGUGAGACACGUUUAAAGUAAGCCCAAACGUCAGAUUACCAUGCACGCUUUCUUCUCCCUCCUCUCUCCUGUCUCCUCUCUUUGCCCAAAUGCCAUAAUUCUCUACACACGCUCUCUCUCUCUUCGCCACCCGCUCUCUAUCCCACCGAGCUCUCGUUUGACCGACAAACUUUGCCCCAACGGAGGCAAAGCCGCGUUCAUUCAUCCCACAAGGGUUCGAUUGUGACUUGAAGAGGGAAAGAGAGAACAGCCGAUGGGGGCUAGCGAGCUAUCAUCAAACCAGCGCUGUGGCUCGUCGGCUAGACAAGGGCACGAUGGCUCGUUCAACGAACCACCACACAACCUUGCCUCGAGGUUGUCUACACUGUCGCGAAGUUCGUCGAUUAAGCGCGGUGGCUCGUCUGAUGAGCAAUCUCACGGCUCCGCCUCUGCAUAGAAAAGUUGCCUCCUCUGACGCUAGCCAACCUCAACGGAGAAGAAGAUGAAUAGUUGCAAAUAAGGGCAAAAUCGAAAAACAAAAAAAUUAGUGAGAAUAUUGGGUGUUUGAUAAAAUUUUCGAAUCCACUUUAAGAAAAAGUUUACAUUUGAAAAAUUGAAAACUCAAGGAGGUUACAGGCUACCUUGGGCUUCCAGCCUUCUUGCUAUGCAAGAAAGCCUAGGGAGGUAAAAAAAAAUUUAUUCUGAAACUAUCCUCAUUGACUUUUUUGGUUUUCCGAUUUUUCCCUUAUUUGCAAUUGUUCAUCUUCUUCUUUGUGGGGCUAGCCAGCGUGGCUACUGUGGCUAUGAGGGGUCGGCAAUGGGCUAAAGAGAGGCUAGCAUAAUCACGACGACCUAGGUGACCGUCGCCGGGGGUUGUGUGACCUAGGUGAGUGCCAUCUGGGUCACACAAGACAGGCUGAGGUCACUUAAUCCAGACAGUAGAUGGCCCUCGAUAAUUGCGCAACCCCAGCAAGAGUCUGCCUUGUUUCGUGCAACCUAGUUGGCCAUUGUUAGGGUUGAGCGACCUCCGCGAGAGUCACGCCAACAAAGGUUGCCUGGCUUUGCCUGGCCCAACCGGCCCUUGUUGGGGUUGAGCAACCUCGGCAAGGGAUCGUACGAGCUACGCGAUGUAGCUAACCCUUGUUGGGGUCGAGCAACCUUCAUGAGGGUCACUUCAAUGAGGGCUACUUGGGUUUGCACAACCCAACUGGCCCUUGCAGGGUUUGAGUGACCUUUGUGAGGGGUUGCAUGGGUUGCACGACACUCGUCCAAUCCUAGGUGGCCUUCGCCAUGGAUCUCUAGGGCAGACGACAACUGCUGGCAACAAAUCUAGAUCACCAACGGCCACCUGCCCUUGGUUUGUUAGGGGCAACAUAUUUUUUAGUACCUGAAAUGAUUUGUCAAUAUAAUCUUUCCAAACAUUAUUUUAUUUAAAAGUACUUCACGAUAAACUCUUACAUUACGAUUUAAUAAACAUGAUUUGCAUUUUGGAAAACUCAUUUAACUUAAAAGUAUUUUACAUUUUUCCAAAAAAAAUUCCCAAAAAUUUAACCAAACGCACCAAAGAGAGUGCACUAGGUAGUAUGGCAUUUGGGUGAAAGAGAGGAGAGAGGAGAGAACAGUGCGUGCAGCAUUUGGACAAGAGAGAGGGAAGAGAAGAGAGCAUGCAAGGAAGUGAUGUUUGGACCCACUUUGGAUCUGUGUUGCCAUUUCAAGUCCCUUCUUAUUUAUUGUACUAGCUACAUAAGAGAUACCUAAUAUUUUCUUCCUUCAACUUAGUGAAUCUAGAUGUGAUGUGAAGAGGUGACAAGACCAUUUCCUCGAACGUGGAUUACAGCAUCUACUUAAAGCCUAUCAAAAUAACAAGUCAUACCUCGAUGUAUUACCUCACUAGUCCUGUGCCAUCGGAUACACUUGACUCAAUGUGUGUUCCAAAAAGAGGAACUCCACGAGUCAUGACAUUCCAGAGGAUGUAUUUUUGCUACUAAGCUAUCAAACAAGAACAAGAACAACGAAAUUAUAGUCCUAUUCAAACAGUGGCAACACCUUCGGGGACAACCAUCGAAGCAGUUGCCGCCUCCUCCGAAACAUCAGCCACUGCGGCACCACUGACUUUAGGGCCAUCUGUGUUGGGUGCUGAUGGCCCUGAAUGAGGCCACAAUUUUUUGGUAGUGUACUCUGAGAAUAUUUCGCAAAUGAGGCCACAAUUUUCACCCUUUUUUACCGGAAGGACCCAUCGAAAAGGGGGCAGCAACUUGCGUUUUUUCACCCCGGGAGUAUCUCCCCUAAUAUUUGUGAUCGAGAUCAUACCACGAAAACUCCAAAUUGAUAUACCUACAAUAAUUUUUAAAUUAAUUUUUUAACUGUCAAAAACUCCAAACUAAUAAAACUCUUCGUUAGUUUACAUUAAAUUUUAUCAUCAAAUUAAUAACAUAUGACAAUUAAUGAGCGUACUAAUUUGAUGGCUUGCCUUUUAUUUGUCAUGUAUUGAUCUAAUUUGAUAAAGACUAAAGUAGAGUAAAAUUAUCAUAAAUAUACUAUUUUGAUAUUUUUGAUAAUAAAAAAGUCAGUUUAAAGUAAAUUUAUCAUAAAUAUAUCAAUUUGUAUAAUGUUAAUCCAUUGCUCAAAUAGCUCAAACUUUGAUUACGACAUAAAGUCCAUUUUCCAUUGAGAAAGUAUCGGUUGGUGUUGGGUCUUGAUAAUCCAUAGUUCAUACAAGGGAAAGGGAAAGAAUAUUAUCGAGGAAUACAAUGUAGCAAAGUGAAAAGUAAGGGGGGGGGGGGGGGGGACCAAAAUCGAAAGGUGUAUUUUGCACGUAUUUUCUAUCAUAUCCACACUCUCCACCAAUCAAAGGCGCACGGGUGACGUAUUUCGUCCAUACCCCUUGCUCUGAUUGCCACGUUUUAGUCUUAUCAAUAUCCCCAAAAUAUAGUAAAAGCCCUACACCCACUAACCCAAAAAAAGUUUCGAGGAAGAUGUCGUGGCAGCCUGGCAGGGACUUCAAUUGCCGCCUUAUUUUCAGAUGAUGAUGAUGGAAAGGUCCUCCACUCGAUACCAGCCAAAAAAAAAGAACAACUAGUAGUUAAACAGUCAACCAUGGCCCUUUUCGUAUUGACUGGGAAAAUGAUGCAGCUGGGCUAGAAGCCCGGCACAGAACAGACGGCCUUCGAAAAAAUAUCUGGUGCCUCUUAUGUAGCUAACAUAACCAAAAAAGAAGGGAUCUAAAACGGUGACACCAGACCCCAAACCUCAGAUUCCCAUCCACGCUCUCUUCUCCCUCCUCUCUCCUAUCUCCUCUCUUGCCCAAAUGCCAUACUCCUCUACACUCUCUCUCUCUCUCUCUCUCUCUCUCUCUCUCUCUCUCUAGCCCGACUCUCCCUCCCUUCGCCACCCCCUCUCUAUCCCACCAAGCCCUCGUUUGACCAACAAACUUUGCCCCAACAGAUGCGAAGCCACGGUUAUUCGUCCAACAAGGGUUCAAUUGUGAUUCGAAGGGGGGAAGAGAGAACAGCCGAUUGGGGACAGCAAAGCUAUAGUCGGAUCAGCGCUCUGGCUCAUCAGUUGGACAACGGCAUGAUCACUUGUUCCACGAACCACCUCAUAACCUCACCUCAAGGUUGUCUCCACCGUCACGAAGUUUGUCGAUCGAGCGCGAUGGCUCGUCUGGACGAAUCAUCGCACGGCUCUGCCUCCACAUAGAAAGGUUGCCUCCGCUGGCACAAGCCAACCCCAACGGAGAAGAAGAUGAGCAUCGCAAAUAAGGAUAAAAUCGAAAAACCAAAAAGAUAUGAUGGGUAAAAAUGACAAGACCAUCGCCUCGAGACACAAAGGAUAGCAUAGCAUCAACAUCAAGGAAGAGCCUAUAAGAAUAACAAGUCGUACCUUGAUGUAUUACCUCGCUAGUCCUGUCCCCUCGGUACAUGUGACCCAGUGUGUGUUCCAAAAAGAGGAACUCCACGAGUCAUGACGUCCGGAUGAUGUAUUUUUGCUACUAAGGCCCCGUUUAGUAAAUUUUUUAUUUUAUUUCCCGUAACAAUUAUUUAUGUUGUUUUGUCUCACGGAACAAAAAAAGAAUAGAAAUCUAUUUAGUAAAUUUUUUAUUUUUUAGAAUGAAAAAAGAAUAGAAACCCAUUUAGUAAAAUUUUGUUUCCAGGAAUAAAAAAUCCAUUUUUUUCCUGGGAAUAAAUUUGGAACAGAAACAAAAAAUAGAAAAAAAUAAAAUUUUAUUUCCAAGAAUAAUUCCUAAGAAUUGGAUGAACAAAAACAAAAAAUUUAUUUUUUCUUCUCUUCUCUCUUCUUCUUCUUCUCUCUCUCUCUCUUUUUUUUAAUUCUCUUUCAUUUUCUUCUACUUUCUUUUGGUCGGUUGCCAACUUUGGCCGUGGCCUGGUGAGGCUUCGGCUAGCUCGCCGGACCUUGCCUAGCCGGCAACUGGCCAAAGAGAAAAACAAAAAGAAAAAAGAGAAAAGAGAAAAAUAAGAAAAUAUAAUAAAAGUAUUAAAAAAUUAAAAGAAAUAAAAAAAAUUAAGAAACCUACCAAACGCAUUUUUAUCCCUAGAAUAAAAAUUUUAUGUAGUUAUCAAAGACCUUUUUUUGCUCAGAAAUUAUCCCUAAGAACAGAAUCAGCAAAGACCAUUUUUAAUAAAAAAUUGUUCUCCGCAACUAAAAAGGUUACGAAAUGCGUCCUAAACUAUCAAACAAGAACGAGAAUAAUGAAAUUAUAGUCCUAUUCAAGCAGCGACAACAGCUUCAAGGGCCGCCACCGAAGCAGUUGCCACCUUUUUCGGAAGCAUCAACCACUGCGGCACCACCUACUUUAGGUCCAUCUGAGUUGGGUGCCGAUGGCAGACAAAGCUUCAGGUGGGACGGAGCGUUGUGCUUCAAGAGAAUCUGUUGCAUCCUUGAAAUUUCGGUUGGCUUUCCUAGUUUAGGGCCUUGAACAACAACAGAGGGCUUCUUCUCUUGAUCCUUCUUUCCUCUGAGGAACUUCAUUAUGGAUGAGCUCUGCAAUCGCCUUCCAAUAGUUCUUGUCAGCCUUAGUGCGGAACUUCCCUAGGCUGGCCAAAAACAACUGAACCACGAAGGACAUAGCAUCAGAAAAGGCCAGUAACAUUACCAUGACAACAUCCCCUACCAGACUGCCAAAGGUGACCGCAUAAAAGCAAUGGUCCUAUGCAACUAUUAGUGCUCUGAUUCUUCGUGUUAUUUCACCUUGGAUUAAACAAUUGAUAAGAUGUCCUUGAUAUAUCAUAACGAAUAUAACCUAUGACAUUAACCAAAUUUAAUUCCAGACUAGUUAAGUUCAACCACAUUCAGUUUUUUCUCCAUCCUAUGCAACUUGUGUUAUUUCACCCAGUCACGAUAAAUCAAGUCUUAGAUGCAUUGUAACGAGUAUAACAUUGACACUAGUCAGAUUUCCAAUCAAUUGAGAUCAAAGACAUUCUGAUUUUCCCCAUCCUGCAUAAUAGCAAAUGUCCUAGGAAAUAACUAAGAUCUUAAUCAACACACGCCAGUAAUUUACUUUAAUUUGGUCCUAGAAUCUACUCCCCGUAAUCGCCAUUGUAUUUACAGCACUAAUAAGGAUUCCCCAAACACAUCGUGCCCUUUAAUCUUCCGCACCAACUACAAGGCAUUUUACCUCAUUAUAUUGAAUAAUGUCCGAAUUGUGUGCGCUACCAUAAAAAGUAUGAGGCUAAAGUGCAGUUCAAAUGCAUGAUAUACCGUUGGCGUGCUCCUCCUUUGCAAGAAUACUAUUUGAUCGUAGUGGGCAUUCGAUACUUAGAAUAGAAUUGUUUUAAAGGGUACUUUAACUUGAUUGACCCCAAUUUGCAAGCAUGGGAGCUACUAACGCACCUCAUACCUUAGACAUUAACAGAAAGCUGAUGCAUUGCAACUUAAUUUUCAACUCUCGAGUCAGCAUUAUGCAGUUCUUCACAAUGAUUACAAAAGAUCAUUUUUAAAUCAAUUUGAUUAACUAUUGCAAAUCUAAAAAUCAAAUACCAUGGCUUGAAUAUUCCACUAACAGUCGUCAGCACAACUUCCAUGAAUUAAAUGAUUACAAUUUAAUGCACUGAUGUGAUACAACGGAAUCAUAUAGAACCCCCCUGGCAAAAUUGUUACAGAAACAAUCACAAAAUAUAUAUAUAUAUAAUUCAAGUAUUAACAAAAGAUAAAUAUCAUGAAUUAAGCUUGCAACUGUAGAUUGGAAGCGCUCGCCUACUCAUUUUUCCUGUUGUUUGUCUUGUUCUCGCAUGUUAUCGUCCUUUUCCUGUAGAGCAUUUCCAAUUUCCCUAUCCUCUGUUUCAGGGAGUUCUAAAUUAAAGCUUUCACUUUCUGAAACAACAUCAGAAUCUUCCUCAUCAGGGUCAAACAUUUCAUCUCCAACUAAACGAUCAUUCAAGUCCUUAUGCUCACUUUCUUCAUGCUGAUGUUCACUGAUAUGAUCAGAAACUGGAGGCAGCAAUGGCUUUUCAUCUUGGUCUUUAUAAUCUGACAGGACAACAUACUUACGUUCAUCAAGCCGAGGCUUUGCAACGUUGAAGGGAACCCACCUGAGAUAUGCAGUAAAUAGCUUGCACAUUAACUUUGACAAUAUGCAGAAGUACUUAUUGCACAUGUUAAAGAAUAACUGAGCUCACAUAGUGACUAUUAAAUGUGAAGUAGUUGAACUAAAAGGGAUGAUGAGUUUAAAAGUUCACUUCCUCGCAAUUUGGAAGACCCUCAAGAAAUAAAGUUUCAUCCAAAGAAGGAGAGUGCAGGAGGGACGUACUGGUAACGGAGGGGACAUAGAAGCUCAGAUGGCCGAUACGCUGCUUUAUAUCUCAUCUUGCUGCAUGAAUGAAUGUAAUAGCCAAGGUAAUAAUACUGGAGACUGGGGCAGUGAACUCGAUUCUCCUUCACCCAAGAUAUUUCUUGCAAAGCCGAAUAUUUUCCCAGUGAUAAAAAGGCAAAGUCAGGGUCCCAAAAUAAAUAUUUACUCGACAAGCAUUUAGGAAGGAUAUCCACCACACCAACCGCAACUAAUCGGCCAUCAAUAACAUAUGACUGAUGGAAAGACCCAAAACCGCAGGGAGGAACUGAACCAUCACCGGUCGAGGGAACAAAAACCAAUGGUGUGUCAACCAAAAAACUCUCGUACCCUUCCUCUGUGAUAUCGUCUGGAUUGUCCUUGUGCACUUUCAACUGAUAUCGCCUGUACAACUCAAAUUCUUCACGCUCAAAACUGGAUCUUUUCAGAAGAAUCUCAAGCUUCCGCCUUUUUCCUGAACAACAGUUACAGCACCUCACCAUACAUCUUCUCUUGUUUCCAUUUCUCGUUGAAGAUUCUUUAGAGAGAGAUUUUUCUUCGCCAGUCUUAUCCGCUGAAGCGUGCUCUGCAAUAGAAUAAAAGUUCAGAUGUCCGUUACAUGCUUGGACCAAGAAGCCAGAUGUUUCAUCCGUUUGAGACAAUGACCGCGCCAACUUUUCUCCAAUCCUUCGAGGUGUCAACUCAGAAGGCAGUUGGUCUUCUGCUGAGAUUCCAGAGAAUUCUGACCCUUUUUCAUCCUUUUUUUCUGACCGCGCACGCCUUAAAGUGGCAGCCAAUUGGAAAGCAAUGUUACUGGUAUACGAGAGAUUUUCCAAUCCUUUGACUAGCUUCUUCUUCUUGGUUGGGGAGCCUCCUUUGACAGAAGCUUUAGGUAAUUGAAGAUUGGCAGAAAACGUCUCGCUUUCGAUACAUGCCUGCACAGCCUUAUCAAUUGCAUCAGACAAGUAAUGCAUAAAUUGUUCUGGCUCAUUCUUAUCCUCCUCCACGUCCACAGAAGUUUCAACCGUUGCCAAGUUUGACCUUCCAUGACAUUCACAUUCACAUGCCACUUUAGAAGUAUUUAAAUCCUCCAGGAGCUCAGGCUUGGCUUUGGUGUCCAGUGUACCAUCCAGAAACCUAGAAAAUAAUCACCAUGGUGAGAAAUUCUUGUACAUUAUAUCCAGAGUAUGCAGCUUUGCUAAAUCCUCACCUCAAAGGUAUAAUUCGGUUGAAAUGCACAAGUAGCCUAACAAUUUUUGCAACCAUUGCACUUGUUAAGUUUAGCUUCAUGGUGUAAAAAGACCGAGAAAUUUCUCAAGGAGUCAAAAAGCAAAGCUCUUUCACUUUGAGAAAUCUCCUAGGUUGGAAAGCUUAGUGACGUCAAACUAAAAUUCCACUCAUGGAGUUGUCCGUUGAAAUACCAUUCCAAUGCCUACCAGCCUCAGAGUGGGCAAAUAGUAUUUUUGAUGACCACUGGUCUAAUCAAUUGACAAAGAAUGGACUCCAAACUCGAAUGCUGUCUUGAAAACAGGGUGGUGGUCGAUUUUGCAAAAUCCAACGACGACGGACUGAUGAAAAAAAUCAUAUGUGAAGAUGCAAUGAUCCAAUGAAUAGAAUCCAUAAUGUAGAGAGGUUAUUAAAGUAAUACCUUUCCAUCCGUUUGCGUACUCGAUUUUGCUCCUUGGAAGGAGAAAAGUCCGCUGCUUUUAAGCGGAUAGUAUAAGAAGGGCAACACGUAGUACUCAUAUCUGGCUUGUAAAGGAAAGAGCCAGAUCUUCUCCAUCCUCGAUCAAGGAGAUCUACAGGAUGAGCAUCGAAGUAUGAAUUGCCACUCAAAAGAUAAAUGCACAAUCAUUGAAUGUACUAUAACAUCUAUCCGAGCCAUCAUUGCCACAGUAAGAAAACUAUUGGGAUAGAAACGACUCGAGUCGGAACUUCAGCAUCCACCAUAGCUCCAACAUGGUUUCUCUGAGCUCUUGCAGUUAAAAUACGCACAUACGGAAGCAUACGUGCGUGUCUUAACUGCUGAUAGAAUGAGUAGGCAUAAAUUUCCCUCAUACGGAUCAAGCAUUCGAAAUUUCUCUACUUCUUUCGACCAGACAUGUGCACAUAUUGAAACUACAUGAGCCGAGAGUCGAUUAGUUACAGCGCAUCGACAGUCCAGAGCUGCCCAGACUCUCAAAAUAGGAAAUCCCGCACCAACCUUGAUAGUCAUCCACGUUUAGGCUCUCCGCGAUCAAGCCUGCGAUCCAAGUCGAAGAGACGUUAAAAAACAAACAAUACGAAACGGGAAAAAAUCGUCACAGCAAGCCGACACACGCAACGAAGCGUCAGAUUGGAACUAAAGACUAAACGCGAAUCAGCAAUUCCAGCGACCGUGAACGUCACAACAGACGACAAAAGCCGGCAAAAAGCAAACCCGACGCACGGCAUCUCCAGUCCCGAGCCACCGGAGUCCGGGCAAAAACCGUACUCAACGACACGGGCGGGAGGCAAACAACGAGAAACGAAGGAGGAACCGUACGGACCGUGAGAAAUGCUGGACCGAUUGGACGAUCCGCAGUACCCGCAGGAGCUCCUCUGCCGGCCGCAGUCCAUGACCACCGACUUCCCCCUUCCGCCGCCGCCGCCGCCGCCUCCGCCUCUGUCGCUGCUGCUCGCCUCGCUGCGAUGAUGGGCCGCCAUGUUGGAACCAAAAGGACUUGGAGGGAGAGAGUACACACACAAAGAGAGAUUAUAUUACACAAUAUGCCUUUGUAAAGGCUUAAGAGAGUACACACUAACUUUGCUAAGUUUAAAACUCUCUCUAAAAACUCACUCUCUCACAAAAACACUCUCACACACUGAACUAACGUAACCCUAUAUCUAAAAGUACUUCACCGCAUGGACUUCAAACCUGCAAGAGUUAAAUUUGAACUUUACUUCUUGGCAGUCAAAAAAAAACGUCGGCUGCGUAUCUCUUCUUCUUGCUGUCUUCAGAGAGAAUAAAAUAUUGCCAUCCCCAAGUUGCUUUCCUUCCUUUCCUUCGUGCUCUUGGAGUCUUCAGCAGCAACUAUAAUAUUUUAUUGUGUGCCCAAGACUUGUACUUUCUUCAUGAUUUUUCUUCUCCGGCGGCUCAGAGAGACGUGGUGCUGUAGCACACGUUUCUUUGACGGUUUACAAACCUAAUAACUCUUAUUUACACACACACAGCCAAAAACAAUUAAAAGACAAAUAAGCUAGUCAAAACACAAAACCAAUUUUACUAUUUUCUAACAGCCUCCCUUAAAAUUGAUUUUGUAAGACUACGACACCAAGCAUUGUCUUCAAUUUCUCGAACAGAUCCGCCUUCAAUGGUUUUGUCAAAAUAUCUGCAAUCUGGUCUUCGGAUUUACAGAAAUCAAGUUCAAUCUCAUCUUCUUUAAUCAGCUCACGAAUAUAAUGAUACUUGAUGUCGAUAUGUUUGCUCCUGCCAUGAAAUACAGGAUUCUUGGCCAAUGCAAUUGCUGACUUGUUAUCACACAUCAAUUUAGUAGGACCUUUUUGUUCAUGCAUAAGCUCAAAAAGCAUCCUUCGAAGCCACAUCGCCUGACAUGCUGCUGAAGAUACUGCAAUGUAUUCUGCUUCAGUUGUUGAGAGUGCAAUAACUUGUUGUUUCUUUGAUGACCAAGAAAUUAUUCCUGAUCCAAGAAAGAACGCAUAUCCAGAAGUGCUCUUUCGUGUUUCAGUAUCACCUGCCCAAUCACUGUCUGUAUACCCCACUAAACUGAAGUUGUCAGUGUAAGAAUAUGAAAUUCCAUGAUCACGAGUUCCACUGACAUACCUUAAAAUUCUUUUUGCUGCUUGCAAAUGUGAUUGGUAUGGUUUCUCCAUAAACCGACUAAUAAUUCCCACGCCAUAAGUUAUAUCUGGCCUAGUGGUAGCCAAAUAUCUUAAACUGCCGACAAUACUUUUGAAAUAAGUGGGAUUUACCAGUUCACCGGUUCCUUCUUUCUUCAACUCCAACCGUUCUGCUACAGGAGUUCGAAUUGAUUUGAGCGUUUCCAUAUUGAAUCGCUUCAAAAUAUCAUUAGCAUACUUCUGCUGUGAAACAAAUAUGCCUUCAUUUGUCUGCUUCACUUCAAGGCCCAGAAAAUAGGACAUUAAUCCCAAGUCCGUCAUCUCAAAUUGACUUGUCAUGGCCUCCCUGAAUUCAGCAAACAUCUUCUCACAGCUUCCUGUAAAUAUCAAAUCAUCAACAUAAAGGCAAAUAAUUAUAAUAUUGCCGUUAGUAUUUGAUUUGAUAUACAGUGUAUGCUCAUAAGGGCACUUUUGAAAGCCAUGCUCCAACAGGUAAGUAUCAAUCCUCGUGUACCAAGCUCGAGGUGCCUGUUUUAGCCCAUACAACGCUUUCUUCAAUUUAUAAACUUGAUUUUCACGCCCUUUCUUCACAUAACCUUGUGGUUGCUCCACAUAUACUUCCUCAUCAAGAAAACCAUUAAGGAAUGCCGAUUUCACAUCCAUUUGAUGGAUUUUCCAACGGUUCUGAGCUGCAAGUGCCAAGAUCAUUCGAAUGGUAUCCAUUCGAGCCACCGGUGCAAAUACUUCAAAAUAAUCAAUACCUGGCUUUUGCUUGUAGCCUUUCACCACCAGUCUAGCUUUGUAACGGUCCACCUGACCGUUGGGUUUGCACUUCGUUUUGUACACCCACUUGACACCUAUAGGCUUCUUACCAGGUGGUAAAGAAGUUAGCACCCACGUGUCAUUCUUUUCAAUGGAGUGGAUUUCUUCAUCCAUUGCUUGGUUCCACUUCUCAUCUGCUGCUGCAUCAUCAUAGGAUAUGGGGUCACAUUCGGUAAAUAAACAAAAGUUUACCAUUGUUUCAUCAGUGAUUUCGUCACUGUCAUUAUGAUCAACUCUUGUGACCACAUAAUCCUUGAAUUUUACUGGCGUCUUUUGCGGUCGUUGUGAACGACGAAUCAAUGGUUCUGCAGUCGUUGCUGGUGAGGAGGAUGAACUACCAGGUGAAAGUGAUGGAUCUUCAAUUGAAGAUUCUUCGGUCUCCCUCAUCAAUGGUUCAUCUUCCAUAGGAAUGUCUUUCUGGUCAGCCUUUUGAUUCCAGUCCCAGGCUUCAUCUUCAAAAAAUUGGACAUCCCUGCUAAUAAUUACCUUCUCCGUGACAGGAUUAUAUAGCUUAUAACCCUUAGUCACAUUACUAUAUCCAAUGAAAAUGCACUUCUCGCUUUUAUCAUCCAACUUUUUUCUUCGUUCGUCCGGUAUAUGGGGAUAUGCUACACACCCAAAUACCCGUAGGAACGAAACAUCUGGCUUGUUGCCGCUCCAAGCCUCUUCUGGAGUUCUUCCAAGAACACUCCUUGUUGGACACCUAUUCAACACAAAUACAGCACAAGCAACGGCUUCCGCCCAAAACUUCUUCGGAAUGCUUUAGCCUUUAGCAUACUUCUUGCCAUUUCAAAAAUUGUUCUAUUCUUUCUUUCUACUAUACCAUUUUGCUGAGGAGUAUAGCUAGCAGUCAACUGACGUUUCACUCCAUGAAUUUUACAAUAAUUGUCAAAUUCAUUGGAAGUAAACUCUCCACCUCUAUCCAAUCUCAAUGUCUUUAAAUUAAGGCCACUCUGUUUCUCAACAUAGACUUUGAAUUCUUUAAAUUUGCCAAAAGCUUCGGAUUUUUCUCUCAAAAAAUAAGCCCAUGUUUUUCUAGUAAAAUCAUCGACAAAAAUUAGUGUGUACCUUUUUUGUCCAAAUGAUUCUACCUCAACAGGACCACAGAUAUCUGCAUGUACCAACUUCAGAGGUUGCUUGGCUCUUCUAGCUCUCCCAAUUGGAAACGAUUUCCGAUGUUGCUUUCCAACGAGACAUCCUUCACAUGAGCGGUCUGGAGCAUCGAUCAAGGGCAUGCCAGUCACCAUCUUUUUCUGGACUAGUAAUUUAAGUCCACGAAAAUUUAGAUGACCGAACCGAAGAUGCCAUAGCCACUUGCUAUCUUUUGUCGUUGCUUGGAAACUCAAUAGAGUCUUCGUCUGAAGGGAUAGAGGAAACAUCCGGUUCUUCGUCAUCUGUGUCGUCGUAAUCAACUUAUUGUUUGAGCCUCUAAUGGUGCACACACCAUUUUCAAUGUUAACUUUGUGGCCUUUUUCGGAUAGUUGCCCAACACUCGGCAAAUUCCAAAAGAGUCCCACCACAAAGUAAACGUCUGCAAUAGUAACAUUAGUACCAUCUUUUGAGUUGAUAUCAAUGUUACCUUUGCCCAUCACGAGAAUUUUGGAUUUAUUCCCGAAGUUGACUUCACCACGAACCGUCUCAUCUAACUUCGAAAAUAGCUCCUUUUGACCACACAUGUGAUUGCUGCACCCAGUAUCAAGAUACCAAAUUUUUGUGUCCAUGGUACUUGAGUCAUCCAUUUGGCAUGCUAACACCACGCCUUCAUUUGCAUUGACAGCGUGCACAUAUUCUGGCUGCUCUUGCCCCCUGUUUGCUCGACAUUCGGAUUUGUAAUGUCCGAAUUUGUUACAGUUAAAACACUUGACUUUUGAUUUGUCACGUGUUUGAUAUCUUUUAGUGGAAUUCAGAUUUCCACCUCUACCUCGGGCACCACCACGACCUCCACGACCUCGGGCACCAUGAUGACCUCCUCGAUUUGAUUGAGUGACCCGACUUUGCAGUGCUUGCUCAGAAUUCGAACUGAUAGACUUUUGGUUCAUUCUUUGCUCAUGCGAACAUAAUGAACCCAUCAACCUCUCCAACGUCAUGGUUGAUAUAUCUUGGCCUUCUUCGAUCGCCGCAACGACGUAGUCAAAUCUUUCAGUCAAAGACCUCAAAAUUUUUUCUACGACUCGUACAUCUUGGAGCUCUUCACCAUUAACCCUCAGUUGGUUAACGAUGGUUUGUACACGAUCAAAGUAAGCCGAGAUAGAUUCUGAGUCAUUCAUGCGUAAAGACUCAAAAUCUCCUCGAAGUGUUUGGAGCCGCACCCGCCUGACACGAUCAUCACCUUUGUAGGAUUUUUGCAAUAUAUCCCACGCUUCUUUCGCUGUCUCCGCACUCGAUAUUUUCUCAAAUAUCGUCUCCUCCACAGCUUGAAAGAUCGCAUAUAAUGCUUUCUGAUCUUUCUUUCGAGAUUCCACCAACGCUUCUUUCUCCUCCUUCCUCAAAGCAUUGAAUUCUUCAACAUCAGCUACUUCGGUGUAGCCGUUCUCCACCAGGUUCCACAAAUCUUGGGACCUGAAUAGAACCUUCAUCUGGACGGACCAGUUGUUGUAAUUUUUUCCAUUCAACUUUGGAAGUUGCAACUGAACAGAACUAGUGGAUGCCAUUGCUAGCUCUGAUACCAAUUGUUGGAACCAAAAGGACUUGGAGGGAGAGAGUACACACACAAAGAGAGAUUAUAUUACACAAUAUGCCUUUGUAAAGGCUUAAGAGAGUACACACACUAACUUUGCUAAGCUUAAAACUCUCUCUAAAAUCUCCUCUCUCACUCACAAAAAGAAAACUAACGUAACCCUAUAUCAAUAAGCACUUCACUGCCUGGACUUCAAACAUGCAAGAGUUGAAGUUGAAUUUUUCUUCUUGGCAGUCAAAAAUUGUGGGCUGCGUUUCCUUCACGUGCAAGUUGCAAGCCACAAGAUCACCUUCCUUCGUACUUCUUGAGAUCUCCAGCAGCUAGUGUAAUAAUAUUUUAUUGUGUGCCCAAGAUACUUGUACUUUCUUCAUGAUUUUUCUUCUCCGGCGGCUUAGAAAGACGUGGUGCUGUAGCACACGUUUCUUUGACGGUUUACAAACCGACUAACUCUUGCUUUCACACACAUAGCCAAAAAACAAUUAAAAGACAAAUAAGAUAAUCAAAACACAAAACCAAUUUUACUAUUUUCUAACAAGCCUGGCAUCACACUUGCCAUCGGCUGUUGCUGACUUUGUAGCAUUGUCUUCAAUUUCUCGAACAGAUCCGCCUUCAAUGGUUUUGUCAAAAUAUCUGCAAUCUGGUCUUCGGAUUUACAGAAAUCAAGUUCAAUCUCAUCUUCUUUAAUCAGCUCACGAAUAUAAUGAUACUUGAUGUCGAUAUGUUUGCUCCUGCCAUGAAAUACAGGAUUCUUGGCCAAUGCAAUUGCUGACUUGUUAUCACACAUCAAUUUAGUAGGACCUUUUUGUUCAUGCAUAAGCUCAAAAAGCAUCCUUCGAAGCCACAUCGCCUGACAUGCUGCUGAAGAUACUGCAAUGUAUUCUGCUUCAGUUGUUGAGAGUGCAAUAACUUGUUGUUUCUUUGAUGACCAAGAAAUUAUUCCUGAUCCAAGAAAGAACGCAUAUCCAGAAGUGCUCUUUCGUGUUUCAGUAUCACCUGCCCAAUCACUGUCUGUAUACCCCACUAAACUGAAGUUGUCAGUGUAAGAAUAUGAAAUUCCAUGAUCACGAGUUCCACUGACAUACCUUAAAAUUCUUUUUGCUGCUUGCAAAUGUGAUUGGUAUGGUUUCUCCAUAAACCGACUAAUAAUUCCCACGCCAUAAGUUAUAUCUGGCCUAGUGGUAGCCAAAUAUCUUAAACUGCCGACAAUACUUUUGAAAUAAGUGGGAUUUACCAGUUCACCGGUUCCUUCUUUCUUCAACUCCAACCGUUCUGCUACAGGAGUUCGAAUUGAUUUGAGCGUUUCCAUAUUGAAUCGCUUCAAAAUAUCAUUAGCAUACUUCUGCUGUGAAACAAAUAUGCCUUCAUUUGUCUGCUUCACUUCAAGGCCCAGAAAAUAGGACAUUAAUCCCAAGUCCGUCAUCUCAAAUUGACUUGUCAUGGCCUCCCUGAAUUCAGCAAACAUCUUCUCACAGCUUCCUGUAAAUAUCAAAUCAUCAACAUAAAGGCAAAUAAUUAUAAUAUUGCCGUUAGUAUUUGAUUUGAUAUACAGUGUAUGCUCAUAAGGGCACUUUUGAAAGCCAUGCUCCAACAGGUAAGUAUCAAUCCUCGUGUACCAAGCUCGAGGUGCCUGUUUUAGCCCAUACAACGCUUUCUUCAAUUUAUAAACUUGAUUUUCACGCCCUUUCUUCACAUAACCUUGUGGUUGCUCCACAUAUACUUCCUCAUCAAGAAAACCAUUAAGGAAUGCCGAUUUCACAUCCAUUUGAUGGAUUUUCCAACGGUUCUGAGCUGCAAGUGCCAAGAUCAUUCGAAUGGUAUCCAUUCGAGCCACCGGUGCAAAUACUUCAAAAUAAUCAAUACCUGGCUUUUGCUUGUAGCCUUUCACCACCAGUCUAGCUUUGUAACGGUCCACCUGACCGUUGGGUUUGCACUUCGUUUUGUACACCCACUUGACACCUAUAGGCUUCUUACCAGGUGGUAAAGAAGUUAGCACCCACGUGUCAUUCUUUUCAAUGGAGUGGAUUUCUUCAUCCAUUGCUUGGUUCCACUUCUCAUCUGCUGCUGCAUCAUCAUAGGAUAUGGGGUCACAUUCGGUAAAUAAACAAAAGUUUACCAUUGUUUCAUCAGUGAUUUCGUCACUGUCAUUAUGAUCAACUCUUGUGACCACAUAAUCCUUGAAUUUUACUGGCGUCUUUUGCGGUCGUUGUGAACGACGAAUCAAUGGUUCUGCAGUCGUUGCUGGUGAGGAGGAUGAACUACCAGGUGAAAGUGAUGGAUCUUCAAUUGAAGAUUCUUCGGUCUCCCUCAUCAAUGGUUCAUCUUCCAUAGGAAUGUCUUUCUGGUCAGCCUUUUGAUUCCAGUCCCAGGCUUCAUCUUCAAAAAAUUGGACAUCCCUGCUAAUAAUUACCUUCUCCGUGACAGGAUUAUAUAGCUUAUAACCCUUAGUCACAUUACUAUAUCCAAUGAAAAUGCACUUCUCGCUUUUAUCAUCCAACUUUUUUCUUCGUUCGUCCGGUAUAUGGGGAUAUGCUACACACCCAAAUACCCGUAGGAACGAAACAUCUGGCUUGUUGCCGCUCCAAGCCUCUUCUGGAGUUCUUCCAAGAACACUCCUUGUUGGACACCUAUUCAACACAAAUACAGCACAAGCAACGGCUUCCGCCCAAAACUUCUUCGGUAAUGCUUUAGCCUUUAGCAUACUUCUUGCCAUUUCAAAAAUUGUUCUAUUCUUUCUUUCUGCUAUACCGUUUUGCUGAGGAGUAUAGCUAGCAGUCAACUGACGUUUCAAUCCAUGAAUUUUACAAUAAUUGUCAAAUUCAUUGGAAGUAAACUCUCCACCUCUAUCCGAUCUCAAUGUCUUUAAAUUAAAGCCACUCUGUUUCUCAACAUAGACUUUGAAUUCUUUAAAUUUGCCAAAAGCUUCGGAUUUUUCUCUCAAAAAAUAAGCCCAUGUUCUUCUAGUAAAAUCAUCGACAAAAAUUAGCGUGUACCUUUUUUGUCCAAAUGAUUCCACCUCAACAGGGCCACAGAUAUCUGUAUGUACCAACUCCAGAGGUUGCUUGGCUCUUCUAGUUCUCCCAAUUGGAAAAGAUUUCCGAUGUUGCUUUCCAACGAGACAUCCUUCACAUGAGCGGUCUGGAGCGUCGAUCAAGGGCAUGCCAGUCACCAUCUUUUUCUGGACUAGUAAUUUAAGUCCACAAAAAUUUAGAUGACCGAACCGAAGAUGCCAUAGCCACUUGCUAUCUUUUGUCGUUGCUUGGAAAUUCAAUAGAGUCUUCGUCUGAAGGGAUAGAGGAAACAUCCGGUUCUUCGUCAUCCGUGUCGUUGUAAUCAACUUAUUGUUUGCGCCUCUAAUGGUGCACACACCAUUUUCAAUGUUAACUUUGUGGCCUUUUUCGGAUAGUUGCCCAACACUCAGCAAAUUCCAAAAGAGUCCCGGCACAAAGUAAACAUCUGCAAUAGUAACAUUAGUACCAUCUUUUGAGUUGAUAUCAAUGUUACCUUUGCCCAUCACGAGAAUUUUGGAUUUAUUCCCGAAGUUGACUUCACCACGAACCGUCUCAUCUAACUUCGAAAAUAGCUCCUUUUGACCACACAUGUGAUUGCUGCACCCAGUAUCAAGAUACCAAAUUUUUGUGUCCAUGGUACUUGAGUCAUCCAUUUGGCAUGCUAACACCACGCCUUCAUUUGCAUUGACAGCGUGCACAUAUUCUGGCUGCUCUUGCCCCCUGUUUGCUCGACAUUCGGAUUUGUAAUGUCCGAAUUUGUUACAGUUAAAACACUUGACUUUUGAUUUGUCACGUGUUUGAUAUCUUUUAGUGGAAUUCAGAUUUCCACCUCUACCUCGGGCACCACCACGACCUCCACGACCUCGGGCACCAUGAUGACCUCCUCGAUUUGAUUGAGUGACCCGACUUUGCAGUGCUUGCUCAGAAUUCGAACUGAUAGACUUUUGGUUCAUUCUUUGCUCAUGCGAACAUAAUGAACCCAUCAACCUCUCCAACGUCAUGGUUGAUAUAUCUUGGCCUUCUUCGAUCGCCGCAACGACGUAGUCAAAUCUUUCAGUCAAAGACCUCAAAAUUUUUUCUACGACUCGUACAUCUUGGAGCUCUUCACCAUUAACCCUCAGUUGGUUAACGAUGGUUUGUACACGAUCAAAGUAAGCCGAGAUAGAUUCUGAGUCAUUCAUGCGUAAAGACUCAAAAUCUCCUCGAAGUGUUUGGAGCCGCACCCGCCUGACACGAUCAUCACCUUUGUAGGAUUUUUGCAAUAUAUCCCACGCUUCUUUCGCUGUCUCCGCACUCGAUAUUUUCUCAAAUAUCGUCUCCUCCACAGCUUGAAAGAUCGCAUAUAAUGCUUUCUGAUCUUUCUUUCGAGAUUCCACCAACGCUUCUUUCUCCUCCUUCCUCAAAGCAUUGAAUUCUUCAACAUCAGCUACUUCGGUGUAGCCGUUCUCCACCAGGUUCCACAAAUCUUGGGACCUGAAUAGAACCUUCAUCUGGACGACCAGUUGUUGUAAUUUUUUCCGUUCAACUUCGGAAGUUACAUCUGAACGGAACUAGUGGAUGCCAUUGCUAGCUCUGAUACCAAUUGUUGGAACCAAAAGGACUUGGAGGGAGAGAGUAUACACACAAAGAGAUAUUAUAUUACACAAUAUGCCUUUGUAAAGGCUUAAGAGAGUACACACUAACUUUGCUAAGUUUAAAACUCUCUCUAAAAACUCACUCUCUCACAAAAACACUCUCACACACUGAACUAACGUAACCCUAUAUCUAAAAGUACUUCACCGCAUGGACUUCAAACCUGCAAGAGUUAAAUUUGAACUUUACUUCUUGGCAGUCAAAAAAAAACGUGGGCUGCGUAUCUCUUCUUCUUGCUGUCUUCAGAGAGAAUAAAAUAUUGCCAUCCCCAAGUUGCUUUCCUUCCUUUCCUUCGUGCUCUUGGAGUCUUCAGCAGCAACUAUAAUAUUUUAUUGUGUGCCCAAGACUUGUACUUUCUUCAUGAUUUUUCUUCUCCGGCGGCUUAGAGAGACGUGGUGCUGUAGCACACGUUUCUUUGACGGUUUACAAACCUAAUAACUCUUAUUUACACACACAGCCAAAAAACAAUUAAAAGACAAAUAAGCUAGUCAAAACACAAAACCAAUUUUACUAUUUUCUAACACGCCAUCUCCGAUCGAAGCUCCUUCCCUUCAACUAUUCAUCACCAAAGCAGAGGCGGAAAAAGGGCGAGGAAAUUGCCGGCGUCUCCGAUGUCGACGAGCUUCUAAUCUGGUGUGGAGCGAAGAAGAGGAGGGGCGACCGGGACCGGGUGCAGUCCGUUUCCGGAAUUUGGAUAUAUAAUCCGUGGGCUCUUCCUUCAAGCUCUUCUUGACUCGGCUAGGCGGUUUAACCCCCCCUUCUCCGGUUUUCCUUCCUCCCCCAGGGUCUUUCCUCGGAAAAGAGACAAAAGAAAAGUAUCAUCUCCAUUUUCAUUUUCAUUUUUAUUUUUUUUUGCUUUUCUGGUGGCGUACUCUGAGAAUAUUUCCCGAACGAGGCCACAAUUUUCACCCUCUUUUACCGCAAAGGCCCAUCGAAAGGUGGGCGGCAACUUGCGUUUUUUCACCCCGGGAGUCUCUCCCCUAAUAUUUGCCACUGCGAUCAUACGAUGAAAACUCGAAAUUAAUAUACUUACAAUAAAUUAAUUUUGAAUUAAUUUUUUAACUGUCAAAAACUUCAAACUGAUAAACUCUUUGUUAGUUUACAUUAAAUUUUACCAUUAAAUUAAUAAUAUAUGAUAAUUCAUGAACGUACUAGUUUGGAGACUUACUUUUUAUUUAUCAUAUAUGUUCUACUUUGUGAUUUUUUAAGGUAUUGAUCUAAUUUAAAGACUAAAGUAGAGUAAAACUAUCAUAAAUAUACUAUUUUGAUAUUUUGAGUAAUAAAAAAAUCAAUUUAGAGUAAAUUUAUCAUAUAUAUAUAUAUAUAUAUCAAUGUUAAUCCAUUGCUCAAAUAGCUCAAACUUCGAUUACGACAUAAAGUCCAUUUUCCAUUGAGAAAGUACAAGUUGGUGUUGGGUGUUGAUAGUCCAUAGUUCAUACAAGGGAAAGGGAAAGAAUAUUAUCGAAGAAUACAAUGUAGCAAAAUGAAAAGUAAGGGGGGACCAAAAUCGAAAGAUGUAUUUGCACGUUUUUUCUAUCAUAUCCACACUCUCCACCAAUCAAAGGCGCACGGGUGACGUAUUUCGUUCAUACCCCUUGCUCUGAUUGCCACGUUCGUAGUCUUAUCGCUAUCCCCAAAAUAUAGUAAAAGCCCUACACCCACUAACCAAUAAAAAGUUUGAGAAAGAUGUCGUGGCAACCUGGCAGGGACUUCAAUUGCCGCCUUAUUUUCAGAUGAUACCAGCCAAAAAAAGAAAAAGACAAAAAAGAACAACUAGUAGUUAAACAGUCAACCAUGGCCCUUUUCAUAUUGACUUGGGAAAUGAUGCACGGGGGCUAGAAGCCCGGGACAGAACAGACGCCUUCAACUCCAGAAAAUAUUUUGGUGCCUCUCACGUAACUAGCAUAACAAAACAAAAAAAAAAAAAAAAGAGAUCUAAAGAGGUGAGGCACGUUUAAAGUAGGCCCAAACGCCAGAUUCCCAUGCACGCUCUCUCCUAUCUCCUCUCUUUGCCCAAAUGCCAUACUCCUCUACACACGCUCUCUCUCUCUCUCUUCGCCACCCCCUCUCUAUCCCUCUGAGCCCUCGUUUGACCGACAAGCUUUCCCCCAAUGGAGGCAAAGCCACGUUUAUUCGUCCAAUUUAUUCGUCCAAUGAGGGUUCGAUCGUGACUUGAAGGGGAAAAGAGAGAACAGUCGAUGGGGGGUAGCGAGCUAUCAUCAGACCAGCGCUGUGGCUCGUCGGUUAGACAAGGGCACGAUGGCUCGUUCGCCGAACCACCGCACAUGCCUCGAGGUUGUCUACACCGUUGCGAAGUUCAUCGAUCAAGCAUGGUGGCUCAUCUAACAAACCAUCGCGGGGCUCUGCCUCCGCUUAGAAAGAUUACCUCCUCUAGCACUAGCCGACCCCAACGGAGAAGAAGAUGAACAGUCGCAAAUAAGGGCAAAAUCGAAAAAUCAAAAAGUCAGCCAAGAUAUUGGGUGUUUGAUAGAAUUUUUGAACCCACCUUGAGAAAAAGUUUGCAUUUAAAAGGCUAAAAGCUCGAGGAGAUUGUAGGUUAUCUUAGGCUUCCAUCCUUCUCAAUAUGCAAGAAGGCAGGGGGAGGUAAAAAAAUUUCUUUUUAAACUAUCCUUCCUAACUUUUUGAUUUUCCGAUUUUGCCCUUAUUUGCGACUAUUCGUCUUCUUCUUUGUGGGGGCUAGCUAGCGUGUCGACAAUGGGCCAAAGAGAGGUUGGUGUAAUUGUAGCGAUCUAGGCGAUCGUCGCCGAGGGUCAUGUGACCUGGGUGAGUGCCAUCUAGGUUGCACAAGGUAGCCUAAGGUCACUUGAUCCGAACAGUAGAUGGCCCUCGUCACUUGCAAAACCCCGACAAGAGUCUACCCUGUUUCAUGCAACCUAGUUGGCCCUUGUUAUGGUUGAGCGACCUCCGCGGGGGUCACGCUAGCAAAGGUUGCCUAGGUUUGUGUGACCUAACUAGCCCUCAUUGGAGUCAAGCAACCUCGACAAGGGGUUGCGCGAGCUAUGCGACCUAGCUAACCCUCAUUGGGGCGAAGCAACCUUCACGAGGGUCACAUCGAUGAGGGCUACUUGGGUUUUGCAUGACCUAGCUAGCCCUUAUGAGGGUCGAGUGACCUUUAUGAGGGGUUGCCUGGGUCACACGACACUCAUUAGGGCUCGCCCAACCCUAGGCAGCCUUCACCAAUGGUCUCUAGGGCAGAUGACCACCAUCGGCAACAGAUCAAGAUCGCCUACCCUUGGUUUAUUAGGGCUAGUUAUUUUAUUUUUUUUAUAAAAAAAAACUAAAAUGCUUUGUAUGUAUAAUUUUUUCAAAUAUUAUUUUACUCAAAAGUACUUCACAAUGAACUCUUAGAGUAUAAUUUAAUAAACAUGAUUUAUAUUUUGAAAAAAAAUUUUAACUUAAAAGUUCUUUGCAUUUUUUCAAAGGCUUUUUUAAAAAUCCAACGAGAGGCGCGUGCACAAGGGAGUCUAGCAUUUGGGCGAGAGAGAGGAGAGAACAGCACGUGCAGCAUUUGGACGAGAGAGAGGAGAGAGGAGAGCAUGCAAGGAAGUGACGUUUGGACCCACUUUGGACAUGUGUCACCAUUUUAGGUCUUUUUCUUUUUUAAUUAUGCUGGCUACACAAGAGGCAUCUAAUAUUUUCUUCAAAUCUAGAUGUGAUAUGAAGAGAUGGCAAGAUUGUCACCUCGAACGUCGAUUACAUAAAUGAUAACAUAGUAUCAGCAUCUACAAAAAGCCUAUCAGAAUAACAAGUCAUAUCUCAAUGUAUUACUUCGCUAGUCCCGUGCCAUCGGAUACACUUGACCCAAUGUGUGCUCCAGUCAAGCAGCGACAACUGCAUCGGUCGGCAAUAGCUUCAGGGGCGACCACCAAAGCAGUUGUUGCCUCCUCUAAAGCAUCAGCCACUGCGGCAUCACUGACUUCAGGGUCAUCUGUGUUGGGUGCCGAUGGCGGCCAAAGCUUCAAGUGGGACGGAGCACUGUGCUUCAAGAGAAUCUGUUGCAACCUUGAAAUUUCGGUUGGUUUUCCUGGUUUAGGGGCUCGGACAACGACAACAGAGGGCUUCUUCUCUUUGAUCCUUCUUUCCUCUCUUAUUUUCUAUGGUGGGAACUUCAUUAGGGAGGAGCUCUACAAUCGCCUUCCAGUAGUUCUUGUCAGCCUCAGUGUGCCUCAGUGUGGAACUUCCGUAGGCUAGCCAAAAACAACUGAACCACGAAGGACAUAGCAUCAGAAAAGGCCAAUAACAUUACCAUGACAACAUCCCCUACCAGAUUGCCAAAGGUGACCGCAUAAAAGCAAUGGUCCUAUGCAACUAUCAGUGCUAUGAUUUUUCGUGUUAUUUCACCCCGUACUGGAUUAAACAAUAGAUAAGAUGUCCUUGAUGUAUCAUAAUGAACAUAACCUAUGACAUUAACCCAAUUUAAUUUCAGACUAGUUAAGUUCAACUACAUUCAGUUUCUUCCCCAUCCUAUGCAACUUGUGUUAUUUCACCCAGUCCCAAUAGUAUUAAGUCCUAGAUGUAUUGUAACGAGUACAACAUUGACACUAGUCAGAUUUCUAACUAGUUGAGGUCAAAGACAUUUUGAUUUUCCCCAUCCUACAUGAUACCAAAUGUCCCAGGAAAUAACCGAGAUUCUAAUCACUUUCAUAUGAUAUGAACACACGCUAGUAAUCUACUUUAAUUUGGUCCUAGAAUCUACUCUCCAUAAUCGCCGGUGUAUUUAUAGCACUAAUAACAAUUCCCCAAACACAUCGUGCCCUUUACCCUUCUCCACCAACUACAAUGCAUUUUACCUCAUUAUAUCGAAUAAUGUCGGAUGGUGUGCACUACCAUAAAAAGGUAUGAGGCUAAAGUGCAGUUCAAACACAUGAUAUACCAUUGGCGUGCCCCUCCUUUGCAAAAAUACUAUUUGAUCGUAGUGGGCAUUCGAUACUUAGAAUUGUUUCUAAAGGGUACUUUAACUUGAUUGACUCCAAUUUGCAAGCAUGGGAGCUACUAACGCUUCUCAUACCUUAGACAUUAUCAGCCUACAUUAACAGAAGGCUGAUGCAUUGGAACUUAAAUUUCAAAUCUUGAGUCAGCAUUAUGCAGUUCUUCACAAUGAUUGCAAAAGAUCAAUUUUAAAUCAAUUUGAUUAACUGUUGCAAGUUUAAAAAUCAAAUACCAUGGCUUGAAUAUUCCACUAACAGUCGUCAGCACAACUUCCAUGAAUUAAAUGAUCACAAUUUAAUGCACUGGGCCAAAUUGUUAAAAAAAUACAUAUAAAAUUCAAGUAUGAACAAAAGAUAAACAUCAUGAAUUAAGUUUGCAAUUGCAGAUUGGAAGGGCUCGCCUUCUCAUUUUCCCCGUUGGUUGUCUUGUUGUUCUAACAUGUUAUCAUCCUUUUCCUGUAGAACUCAAUUUUAUACUCAUCUGCUUCACCAAUUAUUUGGUUUUUUUUUUGGUCGAAACACCAAUUAUUUGGUUCAAUAGCUCUUUCUCCAUCUUCUCUUUCUCUUCCAAUCGAACUGCAUUUUUCCUUUGCAUUGCAACAAAUUUUUAUUAUAAUAUAUCACGUAGAGAAGGGGAAAAAAAAAAAAAAGAGGAAGUACAUAGUGCCCCACAAAAGCAGGAAUUUUGCUUUGAUCAAGGUUAACAGUCACCAGCACUGAAGGGAUUUACAAGUAAAGCAAGACCUUAUAUUAUUUCUUUAGUAAAGUCUAAGCACAGAAUUGAACAAUGGGUAAUUAAAUUCGUACCUAAUCAUUGGGUAAUAUCAUAUUGGAACUCUUGGAUUUCUAAUAUCCACUGUCGUCCUUUAAAAACUUUGAAGCUAUGCGAUAAUCAUACUUUCAAAACUAUUAAAUCAAUCCAGUCGUUAUUUCAUGGUGGUUUGGUCCUUCAAUAAAUAAGCAGUCAUUGGCUUUGAUUUCAACGUUCCCCCUCCCCUCAAUCCCCAUCCCUCUCCUCUUGAGGGCUUCUACAAUCGCCUAAGUUGGUUAACAUUAGAUCAGGCAAGAAUUAAUUCCAUUCACUACGGCAUUUUCAUGUUAUUGUGUGCUAAGGCUUUUUCUAUAGGAGCUACGACAAAAUGCAUGUGAUCUCACGGAAAAAAAAAGAGUAUAUAUAUAUUAUCUUCAAAAUCUAGAUAAGAUCGCAUGGACUCAAUUGUGAAGGCCAUGGAAAUCCAUAAGCAGAUGGGAAUUUGAGAUUCUGCAAGCCCCAGGACAAUCACACAAAGUUAACAGGAUUUUCGAGAAGUGAGAGAAUUCUGGGGCUGCUAUUAGCCAUUAGGUGGGUAUGAGUGUCGAGGGUUCUCGUCCCAAUUGUCCCAGGUCCCUUCCAAUCCCCAACUUGCGAAUUCAAUCUCUGAAGCAUUGCAAAGAUCAUAAUUUUUCCCACAGAAUUAGCACCACUACGAGGUCAUCUGAAGUGAUCCUACAUGAUAACAGUACUAAGAUGCUCUAACAGCCAAAAAAAUUCCCUCUAUUCACUCAAAAGUGCGGCUUUCUCUUUCUAGAAGUCUAUUUUCCCCGACUUAACUCAGCGAUUAUAGCAUCACUUUCAUAGCACGAGAAUCAUCGGUAUUGCUCUUUAAGCUAAUCAUCGCACUACACUUAAGAUCAGAGAACAAAGCUCUUCAAACCACCACACUGAUAUGACCACAAGACAUCUCUCCCCAGAGAGAAUGAUCCAUAGAAGACUCAAAAUUCUGUAACAUCGCGAGACUCACAUCCUCCACUCUCUCAAAGCAAAUUGUUCCUCAGGCUGCAUCUCCAUCGGGGGUGGCAAAACGGGGCCGUCCGCCUCGUCCGUCGAGAACUGCCCAGCCACAGCGUAGACCGGACAGUCGGCCGGCACAUGCUCCAAGAAAAAACCAUCCACGGAAGCGAAGCCGCCGGCAUCGUCGUCGUCGUCACCCUCCUCCUCCUCAAGUGAAUAGACCAUUCGCUCAGACAACUCUCGACCGACCACUCUCACAUACCUCUGCACUUGGGCUUCGAGCUCAACAAGACCAAAGGCCCCUUGCAGAUCCUUCAUAGAAGAAAUAGACCAGUGAGCCAUUUGGUGUAUCAAGUGUACAUACAGGCAACUCACAAGACGGAUCUCUGUUCAAGACACCAAGUAGAUUAUGUAAUUAUGUGAGUUCCAUCAAUUGAAAAAAACACACUUAAUUCUUUUUCUGUGAGGGGUAAAAUCAACUAAAUAAUUGGAGGCACGAAUUAGAGAAAAGCAGGGCACUAGCUGAAGAACUGUCCAGACAAUAACCCAUUGGCUUCUCUUCUCUAUAUUAACCAAAAUGCCAGUGGAAACUCAAAAUGACAUUCAACAGUGAAACAUCCAAUAACAGACGCAAAAGGAUCUUCUCACCCAAUAAGAAAGGAGAUUUAGAGUUGCUGAUGAACUUUUCAUACCUUGUAUCUCAGGCGAGACCCCCGUAAUCCUAUUAGAGCUUUUCCAAUAUCCCUAUCCUCCAUUUCAGAAACUGGAGGCAGCACUGGCUUUUCAUCUUCAUCUUUAUAAUCUGACAGGACAACAUACUUUCUUUCAUCAAGCUGAGGCUUUGCAACGUUGAAGGGAACCCACCUGAGAUAUGCAUUAACUAGCUUGCACAUUAACUUUGACAAUAUGCACAGGUACUUAUUGCAAGUGUAAAAGAAUAACAGAACUCACAUAAUGACUAUUAAGUGUGAAGUAGUUGAACUAGGAGGGAUGAUGAAUUUAAAAGUUCACUUCCUCGCAAUUUGCAAGACACUGAAGAAAUAAAGUCUCAUCCAAAGAAGAAGGAGAGUGCAAGAGGGACGUACGAGUAACGGAGGGGACAUAGAAGCUCAGAUGGCCAAUACGCUGCUUUAUAUCUCAUCUUGCUGCAUGAAUGAAUGUAAUAGCCAAGGUAAUAAUACUGAAGACUGGGGCAGUGAACUUGAUUCUCCUUCACCCAAGAUAUUUCUUUCAAAGCCGAAUAUUUUCCCAAAGAUAAAAAGGCAAAGUCAGGGUCCCAAAAUAAAUAUUUACUCGACAAGCAUUUAGGAAGGAUAUCCACCACACCAACCGCAACUAAUCGGCCAUCAAUAACAUAUGACUGAUGGAAAGACCCAAAACCGCAGGGAGGAACUGAAC